GUGGCGAACGGGUGAGUAACACGUGAGUAACCUGCCCCCGACUCUGGGAUAAGCCCGGGAAACUGGGUCUAAUACCGGAUAUGACCUCGCACCGCAUGGUGCGGGGUGGAAAGAUUUAUCGGUGGGGGAUGGACUCGCGGCCUAUCAGCUUGUUGGUGAGGUAAUGGCUCACCAAGGCGACGACGGGUAGCCGGCCUGAGAGGGUGACCGGCCACACUGGGACUGAGACACGGCCCAGACUCCUACGGGAGGCAGCAGUGGGGAAUAUUGCACAAUGGGCGCAAGCCUGAUGCAGCGACGCCGCGUGAGGGAUGACGGCCUUCGGGUUGUAAACCUCUUUCAGUAGGGAAGAAGCGAAAGUGACGGUACCUGCAGAAGAAGCGCCGGCUAACUACGUGCCAGCAGCCGCGGUAAUACGUAGGGCGCAAGCGUUAUCCGGAUUUAUUGGGCGUAAAGAGCUCGUAGGCGGUUUUGUCGCGUCUGCCGUGAAAGUCCGAGGCUCAACCUCGGAUCUGCGGUGGGUACGGGCAGACUAGAGUGAUGUAGGGGAGACUGGUACUUCCUGGUGUAGCGGUGAAAUGCGCAGAUAUCAGGAGGAACACCGAUGGCGAAGGCAGGUCUCUGGGCAUUUACUGACGCUGAGGAGCGAAAGCAUGGGGAGCGAACAGGAUUAGAUACCCUGGUAGUCCAUGCCGUAAACGUUGGGCACUAGGUGUGGGGGACAUUCCACGUUUUCCGCGCCGUAGCUAACGCAUUAAGUGCCCCGCCUGGGGAGUACGGCCGCAAGGCUAAAACUCAAAGGAAUUGACGGGGGCCCGCACAAGCGGCGGAGCAUGCGGAUUAAUUCGAUGCAACGCGAAGAACCUUACCAAGGCUUGACAUGUGCCAGACCGCUCCAGAGAUGGGGUUUCCCUUCGGGGCUGGUUCACAGGUGGUGCAUGGUUGUCGUCAGCUCGUGUCGUGAGAUGUUGGGUUAAGUCCCGCAACGAGCGCAACCCUCGUUCCAUGUUGCCAGCACGUAGUGGUGGGGACUCAUGGGAGACUGCCGGGGUCAACUCGGAGGAAGGUGGGGAUGACGUCAAAUCAUCAUGCCCCUUAUGUCUUGGGCUUCACGCAUGCUACAAUGGCCGGUACAAUGGGUUGCGAUACUGUGAGGUGGAGCUAAUCCCUAAAAGCCGGUCUCAGUUCGGAUUGGGGUCUGCAACUCGACCCCAUGAAGUCGGAGUCGCUAGUAAUCGCAGAUCAGCAACGCUGCGGUGAAUACGUUCCCGGGCCUUGUACACACCGCCCGUCAAGUCACGAAAGUUGGUAACACC
RNAcentral lists this ribosomal RNA (1316 nucleotides) under Glutamicibacter sp. RNAcentral's name for it is "bacterial SSU rRNA". It matches the Rfam family "Bacterial small subunit ribosomal RNA", at positions 95 to 1421 of the family's 1533-position model. Lineage: Bacteria; Bacillati; Actinomycetota; Actinomycetes; Micrococcales; Micrococcaceae. The record is from RNAcentral.